CCAGCUAAGCACUCACUCCUGGGCUCUCUGCUCCUGAGCCUCGGCUGGUGGGAGGGGCCCUGGUGACCCUGUGCCCAGGCCAGGCCCCACCCGGCUCUCACUAAGGGCCUCCCACACGCCCAUAUAUGGACGCGAUCAGGACAGCUCUGGCAGGGUCUGUGAGGUCAGGGCCUCUGUGACCUCACAGUGCCCAGGGGGCCCCCCUGUGUCUAUAAGAGGCCCUCGCACGGCCCCUCCAGCUCACAGCCCACCAAGUUCCACCUGCUCACAGGUUGGCUGGCUCAAUCAAGGUAGACCUCCUGCUCUGAGCAUCCGGGCCCGAUCCACCCAGCACCAUGGCCAGAUACAGAUGCUGCCGCAGUCCGAGCAGGAGCAGGUGCCGCCGCCGCAGACGCCGGUGCCGCAGCCGAAGGAGGCGGUGCUGCAGGAGGAGGAGGAGGAGAGUGUGCUGCCGCCGCUACAGGUCAAGGUGUAGGAGAAGAUGAACAACACGGCCACACCCAAGUCCACUGCACUCCGGCCUGGACUCCUCCCAGCUAGUCAAGCCCGACCUGCCGCCUCAGUGAACACGCACCCGGCAUCAUGACCCAAACAGGAGCCUGCUAACAAACAAUGCCGCCUGUCAAUAAAUGAUGAAAAAAGAGCU
Long non-coding RNA from Suricata suricatta (meerkat), 646 nucleotides. RefSeq lists it as uncharacterized. The record is from RefSeq and is a predicted model, not a curated record. NCBI's taxonomy places the organism in Eukaryota, Metazoa, Chordata, Mammalia, Carnivora, Herpestidae. The transcript is spliced from 2 exons.